RNAcentral lists this ribosomal RNA (440 nucleotides) under uncultured bacterium. Its description in RNAcentral is "partial 16S ribosomal RNA". It matches the Rfam family "Bacterial small subunit ribosomal RNA", at positions 338 to 795 of the family's 1533-position model. The record is from RNAcentral.
CCUACGGGUGGCAGCAGUGGGGGAUAUUGCACAAUGGGGGGAACCCUGAUGCAGCGACGCCGCGUGGGUGAAGAAGCGCCUCGGCGCGUAAAGCCCUGUCAGCAGGGAAGAAUAUGACGGUACCUGAAGAAGAAGCCCCGGCUGACUACGUGCCAGCCUCCGCGGUCAUACGUAGGGGGCCAGCGUUAUCCGGAUUUACUGGGUGUAAAGGGGGCGCAUAGGGCGAUGCAAACUAGGCGUGAAAGCCCGGGGCCCAACCCCGGGACUGCUCUUGGAACUGCGUGGCUGGAGUGCAGGAGGGGCAGGCGGAAUUCCGGGUGUAGCGGUGAAAUGCGUAGAUAUCAGGAGGAACACCGGUGGCGAAGGCGGCCUGCUGGACUGCAACUGACGUUGAGGCACGAAAGCGUGGGGAGCAAACAGGAUUAGAUACCCGUGUAGUC